This 501-nucleotide ribosomal RNA is filed under the name uncultured bacterium. Its description in RNAcentral is "partial 16S ribosomal RNA". It matches the Rfam family "Bacterial small subunit ribosomal RNA", at positions 29 to 523 of the family's 1533-position model. The record is from RNAcentral.
AUUGAACGCUGGCGGCAUGCCUUACACAUGCAAGUCGAACGGCAGCACGGGUGCUUGCACCUGGUGGCGAGUGGCGAACGGGUGAGUAAUACAUCGGAACGUACCUUAUCGUGGGGGAUAACGCAGCGAAAGCUGUGCUAAUACCGCAUACGCCCUGAUGGGGAAAGCGGGGGAUCGCAAGACGUCGCCCGACUAGAGCGGCCGCUGCCUGAUUAGCUAGUUGGUGGGGUAAAAGCCCACCAAGGCGACGAUCAGUAGCUGGUCUGAGAGGACGAUCAGCCACACUGGGACUGAGACACGGCCCAGACUCCUACGGGAGGCAGCAGUGGGGAAUUUUGGACAAUGGGGGCAACCCUGAUCCAGCAAUGCCGCGUGAGUGAAGAAGGCCUUCGGGUUGUAAAGCUCUUUUGUCAGGGAAGAAACACCGGCUCUAACACAGUCCGGGAAUGACGGUACCUGAAGAAUAAGCACCGGCUAACUACGUGCCAGCCGCCGCAGUAA